GGGGGUCACGUCGGAGGCUUAGAUCCAAGCGGGACGCGCCGCCGCCGCGGCGGCAUCCACCCGCGCCCGGGCCCGGGCACACGCUCGGCCGCGCCGUCCCACGCGCGCCGCGAGCCGCCUGCCGGGGGCCGCCGCGGCGCGGCCGCUUUAUAGCGCUCCUCGGGCGUGACGCGCCGCCGCUGCCGCCUCUGAUUCGCCCGCGGCCCCGGCCCCGAAUAGCUCCCGGCUGAAGUCAGAGCCCGCGCGGGGCCGGGGGCUGCUCCGCUCCCCCGCGCUCCGCGCCUCGAGGGUGCGGGGCGGCCAACACCGCGCGUCCCGGGAGCGCGGAGGGACGCAGCGCAGCCCCCGCCCGAGGCGGGAGCGGCCUCUCCAAACCGCCCCACGCAGCCGGCAUCCCAAGUACUUCUUACACAAGGGCGGCUGGAGAGGCAGUAGGGCUGCCCCGGGCCCUGACGCAACACGGACCCAGCCCCGGAGCUCCUACGGGUAAAGCGGGGGAGUCCUGCGGAAAACCUCCUGGUUGUAGGAAGCUGGGGUGGAGGGUCAGGCCCCGCUGACGAUGAAGGCAGACUCCCUGCAGUCCCUUCCUUCCCUUCUGGCCAAGGGGUAAAGUUCCUUCCUGACCCCAAAUCUGGGGAUCUGUCGGGCCCUGAGCAGACAGGUACCUCCGGCUUCGGUCCCAAUAGGAGCAUGGGCACCCCGUGGUCAAAGUCCCCAGCCUUGGCUGUAGCCAUCACCCAGUGCCUGCAGGAAGGCUUAGAUACACCCUGAUACAUAGCAGAAAGCAUAGCCAGUUUCAGUUUGCGGCCCUGCUCCUUAAAUCUAUAUGACUCACACAGGUGUCCCAACGAAGAAAGCUCUCAAGGUGUUGGUGCCACAGCAUGAAAGAAAACAGGGCCUGGAAAUAGGGUCUAGGACAGGGCAGCAGCCCACACCUAGCAAACCAGCGUCUUCUAGGAAAAGUCGCGAGGCAGCUGAGCAGACCUCCCUGGGAACGUGGGGCUGGGGGGAAAGGAACAGCGUGUGCUGCCGGUGUCCCACCCCUUGGAUAAGGACAGACCUAACUUCAUCUCUCUGCAGUUGGGUUAAUAGGUCUUCCUUACACAAUGAAUUGGUUAAUGAUGCAAUAAAUUACUUUGCCACACCCGCAGAGUAAUUAUGACAUAAUUAACAGCUUAAUUAUGCAGUAAGUUUGGACCACACACCUUCGAAAUAAUGAUAAUGCUAUAAAAGUGAUUACCCAGCUAUAGGAAGAGCUAUCCAGUAUGUAACAACUCUAUGGCCGGCUUCUAUCCAGGUUUAAUUUGAACGUAUAGCAGGGCCCCUAGACUGAGGCUGCAGAAACCUUUAGCACAGUGAAUACUCAGUAGCCCAAUCCAUCAGGGAAAAUUACUGUCAAGUAAUUGGAUUAUUUUUAACCCUUUCCUCAUGGAGCAAUAGAGACAACCCCCUUCAAGACAAAUCAUAACACUUCCCUUCCUCAGACCAUUUGUAUUUAGCUGGUCUUAUUUUUUCCUUAGCGCAGUUGCAGCUGGUUAAGGAAUUGCUCCCUAAGCUUUGCUGAUAGAAUUGAUGAAGCGGGAGAUGAGAGCCCCAUUUCAUUUGAUGCCUGUUAAAAAGAGCGAGCGAAAGCAGUGUGUUCCAAGUGGAGUGGGACAGACCUGAUUGAUAGACAUCGCCAAGCCCCUAAGAGGAUAUUACCAACAAUGGGAGAUAAUCAGCUCUGGAAAAUCCCUUAGUGGUACUCCAGGAUCGUGUAUAAUGAAGCCUUGGUUCUGUGCUAUGAAGCGGCAGUGAAGGAAGCAACAAAAGCUGCUUUAGAAAGUUGAAAAGGAACGCUGUCAUUAAAUGGAGUGCAGUGGGCUCCAAGGAGAGUUUUCUGUAAGAAACACCACCAGGCCCUCAUUCAGACAAGGAGACAAACCAGCCCCUGGCAGAACAAAUGGCAGGAAUGUAUAUUGAGAGCGACUUCCCUAACCAACACAUAAUAGCAGGGAAAGGGGGAAAAAAACUUGGAAAUUUAGAGUAUUACCGACUCAGAAAGGCAGGACUCAUUCUGCUUUCGUUCCUUUACAGUACAGUAGAGAAAUCUGACUUGUUCGACUGCCCUAUCUGAGAGUCCAGGAGUCUCCAUCUGCUGUCUAUAAGCCACUCCACUGAGAAUGAAGGGAAGAAAGGGCUGCUAAUCUGGUGAAGAUGUUGCAAUACUGGGCAGCUAGAAUGAAAGUUUCCAAAGUACAAAGCAGUGAAGGAAUGAAAUGGUAUAUUUAGGAUCCAGAGUCUACUGUAAUAGACACCUGAUAAAUGCAUCUGUUUACGUAAAAAGAAACAAGAUUCUCAAAGUGAGGUAUCUUUUAUUGAACAAACUUACAUAGUUUGGAGAUGAGCUUUUCAGGUUUUGAGUGCCCUUCAUCAGGUCUGGAAAAGAAGCAAUCACUGUGCAAGAGCAGUUGCUUUACUUCAUUCUAAUCAGAUUAAUAAUUUUGACCCCUUGAAGUCCUUAAAUUCACCUGUGGACAAAAGACAAAUUAGCAGAGGGAGAGAGCAGUUAUAAUGAGUCUUAAAGCCAGUGUCUCUUUUAAAUCCAUGUUUUUUGAACUCUAGUAGAUGUAUGAAUUUCUGUUUCCAGACUUGUGUUUUGAAGGUAUUUUGCAGGCUUUCUUUGAAGACAAGGAAUAUGAAGUCAGAGAGAGAGAGAGAGGUUUUUUUGAGGAAAGUGUUCUCCUGGUUAUAGAGUUUUUCUGUCCUUUAUCUUCUUUUCUGUGGGAAUGCAUUUUCUGGAAUGUGGUUACAAUUUGGUUUUACCCAUAUAGUUUCCCUGAGGGCGUGUAUGUAUUGAAUGUGGUAUAGCAUAUGAUGUGAUAGGCAUGUGUAGGAUCCAUGGAAAUCGAUGAUUUUGUUGCAGGAAGUGUUGACUGUAGCACUUCAAGAAAGGAAGAAAGUGACACUAUAUAAAAGCAGUGGUACUUUUACUAGAGAUGCUCUGUGUCUGAUUAGUUUACUCUUGUAACUAUUACUAUAUACUAGUACUACAGUAGUCUUGGAGAUUGCAGUGUGUUAGGCAGUGUAUGCACAAAGCUUAAGAAAACAGUCCCAAACAACUAACAAUCCAAAUAUCCCAGACAAAGGGUGGAAGAAAGGAGAUGUUAUGAUCCCCAUUGUAUAGAGGGGAGAAAUGGCUGAAUGGGAAACUACGAAUUUGCCCACCAUUAUUCAGUAAGUGUGUUGUAGAGGCAGGGAUUAAAAUAAGAUCUCUAGAAUCCUAAAUGAGUGCCCUACCUGCAAGGCCAUACUUGUUAAAUCUCUUGGAUGUCACCUUGUAUUGCUCUGGUUUUAUAUCCGCAUAACUCCAUUGAUUUGCAUUGUUACACCAGUGUAAUGAACUGAAGACUUGGAUCUUGUAUAUCUGCAAGGCACUUGGAACGGACUGUCUUUACCCACAAAAACCAUAACACAUGCUAAGGGCAGGGCUUCCUUAUUACUGUUUGCAAAAUGAAAUAAGAUACAGUGUCUUAACCAGCUUGUCAGAGUGUUACAAAUGCAUGAGGAUCUGGAGAUGUUUAAUUUAAUUAGUAAAGUCAUACAUUAGGAUUCCACCUGGCCAUUGAUAAAGGAUACAACAAACAGGAGAGCCAGGUUAGUUUAUUGGAUCUGUUGCUUCUGUAUCCCUGAACUGCUAUGGAUCUGACCAUAGCAAAUCUCAUAGUAAGGAACUCUCUUUUUUAUGUCCAGAAAGGAAAGGGUCGUCUCCUGGGUUUUUACACUAUCUGGUAAGAACAAAGAGCUGGUUAAAAUUUUUAAAAUGUUCAUUAAAAAGAAACAACAUAUUUUUAGUUUUCACACAUCAAAAACAACCAACCAAAGAAGAAAAGGGGGGGGGGGGUGUUAAACUGUAAUGGCUCAGUUUUAAUGAACAUGUGAAAACUUUUAAAGAUAAUUUUUUUUUUUUAGAUCUUCAGCAUGUUUUUUGGGGGGAACCAUUGCUUGGCCAGAGCUAAGUACAGUUCCUGACCAUUGACAAGACUGUCCCUUUUUAAGCAGGAUAAAAUCCAGUUGGCAUAAUGCAGCUUUGUUUCUUUAUUUAUAUGUAGAGUCUGCAAAUGUAGUAUAUAGAGAUGUCGUUUGAUGUUAAGCUCCUUAAAUUGAAUUUUCUAGUUUACCUCUGAACUAUUAUUUCAGAUUCAUCAAAUGCUCAUUCAUUGAACUCUGAGGUUCUUCUUUGGUACUAGAAAAUACUGAUUGCAUUGUUGUCAAAGUGAAUUCCUCCACAAAUAAUGGAGUAACAGUAAAUGUAUCAAGGGGUUGUUGAUUAAACCUUCUUCAGAA
Long non-coding RNA from Alligator mississippiensis (American alligator), 4326 nucleotides. RefSeq lists it as uncharacterized. The record is from RefSeq and is a predicted model, not a curated record. NCBI's taxonomy places the organism in Eukaryota, Metazoa, Chordata, Crocodylia, Alligatoridae. The transcript is spliced from 3 exons.